AAUGAACGUUGGCGGCGUGGAUUAGGCAUGCAAGUCGUGCGACAAGCCUUUCUGCUUGCAGAGAGGUGGAGGAGCGGCGAAAGGGAGAGUAACGCGUGGGCAACCUACCCUUAGGCCCGGGAUAGUAGUGGGAAACCGCUAGUAAUACCGGAUAAUGUCUCCGGACCAAAGGUGUGAUUCCGUCUGGGGAUGGGCCCGCGUCCUAUUAGCUUGUUGGUGGGGUAACGGUCUACCAAGGCGAAGAUGGGUACCGGGCGUGAGAGCGUGGCCCGGCUCACUGGGACUGAGACACUGCCCAGACACCUACGGGUGGCUGCAGUCGAGAAUCUUCCGCAAUGGACGAAAGUCUGACGGAGCGACGCCGCGUGCGGGAUGAAGGCCUUCGGGUUGUAAACCGCUGUCAGUUGGGAGGAAAUCCAUAGGGGCUAUCCCCUAUGGUUGACCUAUCUUCAGAGGAAGGCCGGGCUAAGUUCGUG
This 476-nucleotide ribosomal RNA is filed under the name uncultured bacterium. RNAcentral's name for it is "bacterial SSU rRNA". It matches the Rfam family "Bacterial small subunit ribosomal RNA", at positions 28 to 507 of the family's 1533-position model. The record is from RNAcentral.